AAGGCUUUAGCUUAAUUAAAGUGCUUGAGUUGCAUUCAGGUGAUGUGCGUUUGGCGCGUACAAGUCUUG
Molecule: transfer RNA, 69 nt
Filed under: Amphisbaena schmidti
Lineage: Eukaryota; Metazoa; Chordata; Lepidosauria; Squamata; Amphisbaenidae
Description: tRNA-Ala
Source: RNAcentral